UGAUCCAUUGUAUUCUUUUAAUCAAGAAAAUUACACUCGAGUAAUUGAGUAUGAGGGAUCCUCUCCAUUCAUUCAUCUUUUCGAGUGUAUUUUCUUGAUUAAAGAAAUUCGUUGGAUCA
This 119-nucleotide microRNA precursor is filed under the name Medicago truncatula (barrel medic). RNAcentral describes it as "MIR1509 microRNA precursor family". It matches the Rfam family "MIR1509 microRNA precursor family". Lineage: Eukaryota; Viridiplantae; Streptophyta; Magnoliopsida; Fabales; Fabaceae. The record is from Rfam by way of RNAcentral.